RNAcentral lists this long non-coding RNA (267 nucleotides) under Sorghum bicolor (sorghum). Its description in RNAcentral is "long non-coding RNA (SBIC_LNC017531)". The record is from RNAcentral. Lineage: Eukaryota; Viridiplantae; Streptophyta; Magnoliopsida; Poales; Poaceae.
CCGGAUUAGGAGAAGAAUAUUUUUGGGUGGUUCUGGAGAUGGAAAUGGAUGGAUAUAUGUGGAUGGUACUUCCGGAGUAGAAGCAGCAUAUGUGAGUGAACAUGCAAGUGAAUCUUGAUUUAACCACAUGACAAGCUCCUAAGGGUCUACACAGCUUGACCACACUCAAUGCUCAUAAGUAGUAAGAAGUAAAUGUGUGGCUCAAAGUCUAGCAAGCAUGUAUAUAUGGCUGUGGUAGGAAUUUAAACUCUCAUCAUACAGGAACUG